RNAcentral lists this unclassified non-coding RNA (394 nucleotides) under soil metagenome. RNAcentral describes it as "partial contains 5.8S ribosomal RNA, internal transcribed spacer 2, and large subunit ribosomal RNA". The stretch from base 1 to 120 matches the Rfam family "5.8S ribosomal RNA", at positions 35 to 154 of the family's 154-position model. The record is from RNAcentral.
GAUGAAGAACGCAGUGAAAUGCGAUAAGUAAUGUGAAUUGCAGAUUUCAGUGAAUCAUCGAAUCUUUGAACGCACCUUGCGCUCCUUGGUAUUCCGAGGAGCAUGCCUGUUUGAGUGUCAUUAAAUUCUCAACUCUCCAACUGUUGUCAUGACUGGUGGUAGAGCUUGGACGUGAGGGUUCUGCCGGCUCCUUGUUGAGUCUGGCUCCCUUGAAAAUGAUUAGCGCAGCUUUGCACUGUCCGCUUCAGGUGUGAUAAUUUAUCUACGCCCGACUAGCGACGCGCAUGAAUGGCUUUGUGCUUCUAACCGUCUCGAAAGAGACAAUACCUUUUGAACUUGACCUCAAAUCAGGUAGGACUACCCGCUGAACUUAAGCAUAUCAAUAAGCGGAGGA